This 285-nucleotide ribosomal RNA is filed under the name uncultured Bacillota bacterium. RNAcentral describes it as "uncultured Firmicutes bacterium partial 16S ribosomal RNA". It matches the Rfam family "Bacterial small subunit ribosomal RNA", at positions 1095 to 1382 of the family's 1533-position model. The record is from RNAcentral. Lineage: Bacteria; Bacillati; Bacillota.
AGCGCAACCCUUAUCAUUAGUUGCUAACAUUCAGUUGAGAACUCUAAUGAGACUGCCAGUGAUAAACUGGAGGAGGGUGGGAUGACGUCAAAUCAUCAUGCCCCUUAUGACCUGGGCUACACACGUGCUACAAUGGCCGGUACAAAGAGUUGCGAAACUGUGAAGUUAAGCUAAUCUCAUAAAGCCGGUCUCAGUUCGGAUUGUAGUCUGCAACUCGACUACAUGAAGUCGGAAUCGCUAGUAAUCGCGAAUCAGAAUGUCGCGGUGAAUACGUUCUCGAGUCUU